GGAUGGGUGGCCGAGCGGUUGAAGGCACCGGUCUUGAAAACCGGCAAGGGUGUGAGCUCUUCGUGGGUUCGAAUCCCACCCCAUCUGCCA
This 90-nucleotide transfer RNA is filed under the name Alphaproteobacteria bacterium. Its description in RNAcentral is "tRNA-Ser". It matches the Rfam family "tRNA". From Rfam's summary of the family: Transfer RNA (tRNA) molecules are approximately 80 nucleotides in length. Their secondary structure includes four short double-helical elements and three loops (D, anti-codon, and T loops). The record is from RNAcentral. Lineage: Bacteria; Pseudomonadati; Pseudomonadota; Alphaproteobacteria.